CUCCAUCUCCAGUUUACAUAUACAAGUCACCACCUCCUCCAUCACCUACUUAUGUUUACAAGUCACCACCACCACCAGUGAAGUCACCUCCCUAUUACUAUCAAUCUCCACCUCCACCAUCACCAAAACCUCAGCCUCCUUAUUAUUAUCACUCUCCACCUCCUCCAACACCAGUUGUUAAGCCACCAUACUACUACCAAUCUCCACCUCCUCCAUCUCCAAAACCUAAGCCUCCAUACUACUACCAAUCUCCUCCUCCUCCAUCACCAAAACCUAAACCUCCUUACUACUACCAAUCUCCACCUCCUCCAUCACCAAAACCUCAGCCUCCAUACUACUAUCAAUCUCCACCUCCUCCAACACCAGUUGUGAAGCCACCAUACUACUACCAAUCUCCACCUCCUCCAUCACCAAAACCUCAGCCUCCUUACUAUUACCAAUCUCCACCUCCUCCAACACCAGUUGUUAAGCCACCAUACUACUAUAAAUCUCCACCUCCCCCAUCACCCUCUCCUCCACCACCAUACUACUACAAAUCUCCACCACCACCAUCCCCAUCACCGCCACCUCCAUACUACUAUAAAUCUCCACCUCCACCAUCACCGGUUGUUAAGCCACCAUACUACUAUAAAUCCCCACCUCCCCCAUCACCCUCUCCUCCCCCUCCAUACUACUAUAAAUCUCCACCUCCAUACUACUACCACUCUCCACCUCCACCAUCACCAGUUGUUAAGCCACCAUACUACUACAAAUCUCCACCUCCACCAUCACCCUCACCUCCCCCUCCAUACUACUAUAAAUCUCCACCCCCACCUUCACCAUCCCCUCCUCCUCCAUACUAUUAUAAAUCACCACCACCACCAUCCCCAUCACCGCCACCUCCAUACUAUUACAAAUCCCCUCCACCUCCAUCCCCAUCUCCACCGCCUC
This 930-nucleotide long non-coding RNA is filed under the name Phaseolus vulgaris (common bean). RNAcentral's name for it is "long non-coding RNA (PVUL_LNC001945)". The record is from RNAcentral. Lineage: Eukaryota; Viridiplantae; Streptophyta; Magnoliopsida; Fabales; Fabaceae.